This 661-nucleotide long non-coding RNA is filed under the name Homo sapiens (human). RNAcentral describes it as "HSALNT0299540". The record is from RNAcentral. Lineage: Eukaryota; Metazoa; Chordata; Mammalia; Primates; Hominidae.
UAGUAUAGGAUUAUAACUUUUGAAAUGGAAAAAAGUCCACGAUACAUUAAGUUUAAACAAAGGUUUCAAUUGAAUUAUGCAUUGAAUUGAAUUGAAUUCAUUCAAUUGAAUUAAAUGGAUAAAUCGUAUGGUAUGUGAAUUAUCUCAAUGCAGCUAUUACCAAAAAUAAAAAUAAAAAGGUUUCGAAAUACCCAUCCCGUCCCACUUUGAUGUAGAUCUGGAUGAUUCUGCAGGAUUAUCUCUGGGUGAUGAUAUUGUGGGUAAUUUUCAAUCAUUCCAUUUUUGACUGUGAAUGUUUUCUAAAUGUUCUCAUAAACGUUUAUGUUUUUAAACUAUAAAAUAGAUGAGAUGAGCUGCUGUUGAUGUGAAAAAUAUUAAGUGUUGGCUGAGAUUUAGGAACAUCUAAAUCUAAACGACUUUCGUGACAUUCUUGGACAUUGGGAUUGAGGAGGUGUCUCACCUGGGAGCUCUCUUUGCACUAUGAUCAAAAUGGAGUCUUGCCAGCUGCCCAGGGUAAUAGCCUUGAACGUCUCUUCCUUGGUGAGCGAUGAAUAUACUAGAGCAGAAAGUGAGGAGUUGUGACCCAAGAUCCUGUCUCAUUUCUUAGUGGGCCUUCCUACCUCACAAGCUUGCAAGCUAAGCACGACAUUUCCCAGAGUGC